UGUGAUUGCUUUGGGCUCAGAAAGAGAAUGAAAGGAUCCUAUAAAGCACCCAUACUGCAGCAGAGCCAGACUGCAAAGAUCGGGACCUCCCGUUGCAGAUACAGUGUGAAGACCCCGGGAAAGACAGCAUCAACCCAGAAGACUGCACAGCUCAGACUAGUGCAGCAGGUGGAAAAGGGCUGCAAGGAGGAACAAAUGGAGGCCCAAGAGUUGUACCUCAACAACAGGAAAACUAAAGAAUGUGAAUACCGCAAUCCCUGUGCUUCCUAAUUGGACGUAUAGACAUCUACAUCAAGAGCUGCUUGGUCAAAGCCCGUUCAGAAGUAUGAAGCUAAUAUUUACAGUGAUAGUCAAAAAGCAACAACAACAACAACAACAAACACACUGAAGAAACAACACAUGAGCUAAAAGCAAGAUAGCAACUUCCCUCUUUUUAAACUAGUCUGUACCCUCCCGAUAUUCUCAGCAGACUGCUUUUCAGCACAGAAAUCACUUCUUGACACUUAAGCAUACAGAUCUGUUAGCAGUUUUAAAUCUAUUUUAGUAUGGGAACAUUUGCAGAAUAUGUAUAUAUAUAUAUAUAUAAAUAUAUGUAUACCUAUGUACACAUAUGUGCACAAAUACAAGCACAUAUAAAACCUUUUCCAAAUGCCUGUAAUAAACAAAUUGCUCUAUGUCCA
RNAcentral lists this long non-coding RNA (680 nucleotides) under Anas platyrhynchos platyrhynchos (common mallard). Its description in RNAcentral is "lncRNA (ENSAPLG00000022010.1)". The record is from RNAcentral. Lineage: Eukaryota; Metazoa; Chordata; Aves; Anseriformes; Anatidae.